GGAGCGUGUGGUUUAAUUCGAUGCAACGCGAAGAACCUUACCUGGGCUCGAACGGCUCACGAAAGCGCCUGGAAACAGGUGUUUCCCGCAAGGGACGGGAGUCGAGGUGCUGCAUGGCUGUCGUCAGCUCGUGUCGUGAGAUGUUGGGUUAAGUCCCGCAACGAGCGCAACCCUUGCCCUGUGUUGCCACUCCGAAAGGAAGCACUCUCAGGGGACCGCCAGCGAUAAGCUGGAGGAAGGUGGGGAUGACGUCAAGUCAGCAUGGCCUUUAUAUCUUGGGCA
This 282-nucleotide ribosomal RNA is filed under the name uncultured bacterium. RNAcentral describes it as "partial 16S ribosomal RNA". It matches the Rfam family "Bacterial small subunit ribosomal RNA", at positions 934 to 1215 of the family's 1533-position model. The record is from RNAcentral.